This 393-nucleotide ribosomal RNA is filed under the name uncultured bacterium. Its description in RNAcentral is "partial 16S ribosomal RNA". It matches the Rfam family "Bacterial small subunit ribosomal RNA", at positions 523 to 918 of the family's 1533-position model. The record is from RNAcentral.
AUACGGAGGAUGCGAGCGUUAUCCGGAUUUAUUGGGUUUAAAGGGUGCGUAGGCGGUUUGUCAAGUCAGCGGUGAAACGCAAGGGCUUAACCCUUGACCUGCCGUUGAAACUGAUUGACUAGAAUGCGGAUGCUGUGGGAGGAAUGUGUGGGGUAGCGGUGAAAUGCAUAGAUAUCACACAGAACACCGAUUGCGAAGGCAUCUCACAAAUCCGUGAUUGACGCUGAGGCACGAAAGUGUGGGGAUCAAACAGGAUUAGAUACCCUGGUAGUCCACACUGUAAACGAUGAUGACUCGCUGUCGGCGAUAUACAGUCGGUGGCCAAGCGAAAGCGAUAAGUCGUCCACCUGGGGAGUACGACCGCAAGGUUGAAACUCAAAGGAAUUGGCGGGG